GUGAUUGGAAUGAGUACACUUUAAAUCCUUUAACGAGGAACCAUUGGAGGGCAAGUCUGGUGCCAGCAGCCGCGGUAACUCCAGCUCCAAUAGCGUAUAUUAAAGUUGUUGCGGUUAAAAAGCUCGUAGUCGGAUGUCUGUCUUCGGCCGGGCGGCGCCGCUCUGAAUCAAGGGUGUUGCGUUUCACGCUCUGGGAGCCCGGGUGUCAAAGCCCGACUCUCUUCACGGUCGGACAACAUCGCCGGAGUGGUGGCCGGUGGGUCGCGUUGUAUCGGUUCGCGUGGCGUUUCGUUUUCUUCCUCUUCGGGGUUCGCUCCGUCGAGGGGGGGAUGAUCGCUCGCGUUCAGUUGACGCGGUUCGCUCCACCCAGUCAAUCGUUCGGGGUGCCCUUCACCGGGUGUCUCGGGCGGCCGGCAACGUUUACUUUGAACAAAUUAGAGUGCUCAAAGCAGGUGUAUCCCAACGCCUGAAUAUCGCAGCAUGGAAUGAUGGAAUAGGACCUCGGUCCGAUUUUGCUGGUCUUUUCUUUUGGACCCGAGGUAAUGGUCAAUAGAGACGGA
RNAcentral lists this ribosomal RNA (560 nucleotides) under Daphnia magna. Its description in RNAcentral is "bacterial SSU rRNA". It matches the Rfam family "Eukaryotic small subunit ribosomal RNA", at positions 505 to 882 of the family's 1831-position model. Lineage: Eukaryota; Metazoa; Arthropoda; Branchiopoda; Diplostraca; Daphniidae. The record is from RNAcentral.